GGAAGUAAAAGUCUAACAAGGUUUCCGUAGGUGAACCUGCGGAAGGAUCAUUAAUGUGUUUGGGCCUCACGGCUCUUCAUUCCGACGCUGUGCGCCUUCGGGCUGCACGCUGAGGGAGCAUAUAUCCACCCCUGUGCACACACACGGUGGCGAGCUGGGUAACGGCUCGCCGCUGAUCUUUACACACGUCUAAAAGUCAUUGUAUGUUUAUUUGAGAUAAAAACACAACUUUCAGCAACGGAUCUCUUGGCUCUC
Molecule: unclassified non-coding RNA, 255 nt
Filed under: plant metagenome
Description: partial contains small subunit ribosomal RNA, internal transcribed spacer 1, and 5.8S ribosomal RNA
Rfam family: Eukaryotic small subunit ribosomal RNA (bases 1-53)
Source: RNAcentral